ACAGGAAAUUAGAAAAAGAUUCAGUUUUCUGAUUUUAUGAGAUUAUAUUAGUCAAAACAUGUCCAGAAAUGGCAAUAAAAAAAUUAUAUAAUAAAACAAAUACUGUAGAAGAAGAAGAGUUGCUUCACAAGCACAAUGACGUUUCAAAAAAUAUGAAAUAAAAAUUAAAGGUAAAGAAGUCUGAAAAUAUGCUGGAAAUAUAACAAAUGUAUCUGUCAUUUGUGAUCAUGAUUGGCCGCUUUGAUCAGUACCUACCAUAGACUGUACAUACUGGACAAACGGAUUCCAUAGGCUCCAAUAACAGGUUUUAUGUCCAUAAUGGGAGGUGGCCACCACCGCCAUUUUGACCGUGUCACAGGUUCCGUCCAGCCCAGACGAUUCCAUAAAAGGGAAGAGAGGAGGCGCUGAGGGUGGGGCUGUAAGGCUGGGCUCGAGUGACGAACUAGCUAUGCGCUAACCUGAAGCUAACCCUGGCUAACCCAAAGCUAAAGCGGAGGUGGGAGCCGAGCUAACGGAUGUAGCCACCUAGCUUCAAUUCAACCGGAGCUAACUGGAACACCCAACGACCUGACCCUCACACGGAGUUUAGGAGGAGGUUUUCUGCGCCUGUUCGUGAGAAGUACCUGUAUUAAAAAAGUUUUAAAUCGGUAAGUUUAUAAUUUAUUUCCGUAAUGAAAACAUUUUGCUUUGAGCAAGUUUUCAGUACAGUUUUUUUCGGUGCUAUCACUCCUGAGUCGCACCAGCCAUUAAAUGUAUCAUGAAGAAGAGAAAAUAUAUUUAAGUCGUAUUUUGGGGGGACAUUUUAUUAUCUUUCUUACAAAAUCUGAGACCAAGCGUUUCACAUUGCAACACAAGCACCGGUAACCAUAACAGAAUGAACAACAGCCAGCAGAGGAGAGGAUGGCGGUGUUUCAAACCCUCCCGGCCGGCGUGGAGAGCUCAUUCCUGGGCUGGAGCCGGCCCUCAGCACCCCGCCACAGGCUCUAACAGAUGCUGGCGGUGUUUCAUAUAUUUCCAAAACGUAAUACUUGUUUGUAUCUUGUACAGCCAACUAGCCUUUAUUCUGGACUCAGUACAAUUUACCAAAAGUAAAGAGACAUUAUACAGAUGAAGUAAGCACAAGAUAACUUACUGGAAGACACGGAAUUAUCAUCAGAACCAGAACAAGAGAGCCUGAUAACAGUCAUGUGAAAAUAACAGUUAAAAAGUAUGUAUGUGUAAUAGAAAUAAAAAUAUAUUAGAAUUAGUGUAACUCACUGUGAUCCAAACAAUAAAUCAGCCAUAGCUGAUUAGUAAAUAUGACAUGAGGUCUUGGAGUUUUUAAGUUUCAUUCUUUUAUUACAUUUUUUUCUUAGAUCUGUUAAAAGGUCACCAUGGCAGCCUGUGUGUCUCCAACGUCAGCUACACAACGCAGCAAGUCCAUUUGGAUCAUUGGAGACAGCUACGUGAGGCGUGGUGCCCAGAGAGCUGCAGAGACCGUCGGACACAACCUUGGCCUCCCUGACGUCCGUGUCUCCUGGUUUGGUUGGGGCGGACCAUCGACAUACAUACAUGUGCCGACACUUUGCGCCCUGUUUUAUAAAAUGUAGUGUUAAAAAUAAAUGUUUUUGCUCAA
Nothobranchius furzeri (turquoise killifish) is the source of this 1615-nucleotide non-coding RNA. Lineage: Eukaryota; Metazoa; Chordata; Actinopteri; Cyprinodontiformes; Nothobranchiidae. The record is from RefSeq and is a predicted model, not a curated record.